UCAGGAUGAACGCUAGCGGCAGGCUUAACACAUGCAAGUCGAGGGGCAGCGCGAGUAGCAAUACUUGGCGGCGACCGGCGCAAGGGUGCGUAACGCGUGAGCAACAUGCCCGUAUCAGGGGGAUAAUCCAGGGAAACUUGGUCUAAUACCCCAUAGUAAUUUUGUAAGGCAUCUUAUAAGAUUUAAAGCUUUGGUGGAUACGGAUUGGCUCGCGUGACAUUAGCUGGAUGGUAAGGUAACGGCUUACCAUGGCUAUGAUGUCUAGGGGUUCUGAGAGGAAGGUCCCCCACACUGGAACUGAGACACGGUCCAGACUCCUACGGGAGGCAGCAGUGAGGAAUAUUGGACAAUGGAUGGAAAUCUGAUCCAGCCAUGCCGCGUGAAAAGGAAGAAGGUCCUAUGGAUUGUAAACUUCUUUUGUAUGGGAGCAAUAAGGCCUACGAGUAGGUUGAUGAGAGUACCAUACGAAUAAGCACCGGCUAACUCCGUGCCAGCCGCCGC
This 501-nucleotide ribosomal RNA is filed under the name uncultured bacterium. RNAcentral's name for it is "bacterial SSU rRNA". It matches the Rfam family "Bacterial small subunit ribosomal RNA", at positions 24 to 518 of the family's 1533-position model. The record is from RNAcentral.